UACGAAGGUGGCAAGCGUUGUUCGGAUUUACUGGGCGUACAGGGCGCGUAGGCGGUUGGAUAAGCCCUCCGUGAAAUCUCCAGGCUUAACCUGGAAAGUGCAGAGGGGACUGUUCAGCUAGAGGAUGGGAGAGGAGCGCGGAAUUCCCGGUGUAGCGGUGAAAUGCGUAGAGAUCGGGAGGAAGGCCGGUGGCGAAGGCGGCGCUCUGGGACAUUUCUGACGCUGAGGCUCGAAAGCGUGGGGAGCAAACAGG
This 253-nucleotide ribosomal RNA is filed under the name uncultured bacterium. RNAcentral's name for it is "partial 16S ribosomal RNA". It matches the Rfam family "Bacterial small subunit ribosomal RNA", at positions 524 to 776 of the family's 1533-position model. The record is from RNAcentral.